Molecule: long non-coding RNA, 2012 nt
Organism: Anopheles gambiae (African malaria mosquito)
Lineage: Eukaryota; Metazoa; Arthropoda; Insecta; Diptera; Culicidae
Exons: 2
Source: RefSeq, a predicted model, not a curated record
UCUAAGCAUAUUUUUAAAUUUUUUUUAGAUCUACUUGGCCGUUACGAUAAAAAAGGCUCUACAAUUGGUUAAAAGUAUGGAUGCAUUUACUCAUGCAUUACGAAAAUCCGUGACACAAAAUCCGGAAAACAUUAUUCAUUCAUAUGCAUAUUUUUUCAAACCUACAGUGGUUAAUGAGACGUAAGCAUCGAAAUGCACAAGAUUGAUGGCAAAGAUCGUCUUCAACCACACGCAUGUCUUUACAGCUCACUUGAGUGUUCUUAAAAUAAGUGUCUUAUUCAUAGUAAAUCAAUGUGCACAUAAUAUUUCAUCAAAAAACGUGUUUGUUUGUGCACAGAACGUGGUCAAAAGCGGUUGUGCUGUCUGCUUGUUUGUGUGGAAAAUAAAAGAUCUAUUCAUGGCAUUUCAUAGUUUGCACUCGAAGCGGAGUUUGCACUACACGUGGUUUGUGAUUGUUCACAGCCACAGUCCCAGUUCGCGGAAAUACGCGGUUUUCUAAAUUUAACAGUUCAGGUGUGAAACCAGUACCCAUUCUUCUUCUUCUUCUUUGGCUCAACAACCGAUGUCGGUCAAGGCCUGCCAGUACCAGUACCCAUUAAUUAUCUAUAAAUUUUGGCUGAUAAUUGCAAUAUUCGACAUACGCGCAAAUUUCUUCUCGGUCCGCAUUAAUAGCAUAUCUCGGGGACAACCUGUAGAGUAGUAAUAACAAUCGCUAUUCGGCAAGGACUGACUAUCCAGUUGCGUGGCUGCGUACGCACAAGAAGUAUGUAAAGACAAGCAUGACCACGUAGGUCGUUACGCCAAAGAAGAAGAAUAACAGGGAUUAAAAACAACUAAUGUAUCGAAAGAAUAACAACGAAAGCAACAACGAAAAACAACAGUUAUCCGCUACGGACUGUUCCAACCGGUUCUUGAGGUUCGUUCCUGUUACUUUGCACAAAUCAUUUGUUCUAUUGGCUGCGUUUGGUUUGCUCUGAUAUGGAAAUUCAUUCUAGGACAUAGUAAUCUGCAAUAUUGUUAAAUUUUUAUGUGAUGUAAGUUUUUUAGUGCUUCCGGACAAAAUAUUGACGCUGUCUGUUUGGCGGAUUUUGCAAUAUCUAUCUGUGAAACUGUUAAUGAGGUGGUAUACGACGCUUAGAAUGAAGACACGCUGUGCAAAAAUGAUACAUUUUAUGGUGGUCGUAAUGGUGAUAAUUAUCUGUGAUGUAAAAAAUGCAUCGUCUGCCACAAUUCAGGUAUCCGAAAAGAUGAACAAUGAAAGGGAAUCUUUAUCUGAAUCCAUAACUGGCAUAGACAACAAACCACAGCCAUCACUAACGGCGUACGAUCAGCGCCAAAGUGGGAAGUACAAUCUACGUGUUCACAUAAAGGAUGUAAAAAUAAUAGCUGUAAAUGGAGAUGGAUUGGAAGACAGUUUGGAUGACGACACCAUCUACGAUUAUGGUGAUUAUGAUUACGAUCCUGCUCAUCUCACUGUAAGCCCUCUUCCCUUGUUUGGAAUAGGAUCGGUGUCUAUAACCUCCAGCAAACCACCUAAAUUGACGACAAAUAGCAAACCGCAGUCAUCCACACGUGCUUCCACGGUAUCUACUACCAUUCAAUCCACAACGGAAUUGAAUGCACUCCCCCAGGAAGUGUCCUCGGUGUCACUGCCGUCAGAACAAACUGUUUCGACAACUGCUAAGACUACAACAACAUUUAAACCUUCCCACAUUAGUAGUAAUGCUGUGUUAAAACCAAUCCAAGCACCUGGACAAUAUGACUAUCAGGAAAUACCAGUGCAAGUUAUAGUUGAACGCAAACACUAAAUACUCUUCGUUUACUUUUGUGAUUGAGCAAAACGGCCACUUUUUCCAUAAAACAAACUAGCACCGAAUUGCUUGUCAAUACUGAACUGUGUAACUAGUAGUACAACGACUCGAGGAAAUCCUUUAGGCUAAUCUUAAAAUAACUGAUCAUUAAUCGAGUCAUUUCGAUUGAAUUGAAAUAUACAAUUUUACUUUGAAAUUUAA